RNAcentral lists this ribosomal RNA (493 nucleotides) under uncultured bacterium. RNAcentral describes it as "partial 16S ribosomal RNA". It matches the Rfam family "Bacterial small subunit ribosomal RNA", at positions 28 to 506 of the family's 1533-position model. The record is from RNAcentral.
GACGAACGCUGGCGGCGUGCUUAACACAUGCAAGUCGAACGGAAAGGCCUGCUUUCCCUUGUGGAUUGCGGGUACUCGAGUGGCGAACGGGUGAGUAACACGUGAGUGAUCUGCCCCCAACUUGGGUAUAAGCCUGGGAAACUGGGUCUAAUUCCCGAUAGGACUGCAGGGUGGUGCCUGUGGUGGAAAACGAUUUUCUAGUGGUUGGGGAUGAGCUCGCGGCCUAUCAGCUUGUUGGUGGGGUAAUGGCCUACCAAGGCGGCGACGGGUAGCCGGCCUGAGAGGGUGGACGGCAACAUUGGGACUGAGAUACGGCCCAGACUCCUACGGGAGGCAGCAGUGGGGAAUAUUGCACAAUGGGCGGAAGCCUGAUGCAGCGACGCCGCGUGGGGGAUGGCGGCCUUCGGGUUGUAAACUCCUUUCGACCGCGAGGAAGCCACCUGGUUGGAAGGGUGGUGACGGUAGUGGUAGAAGAAGCACCGGCUAACUACGU